ACUCGAGUGGCGAACGGGUGAGUAACACGUGGGUGAUCUGCCCUGCACUUCGGCAUAAGCCUGGGAAACUGGGUCUAAUACCGGAUAGGAGCCAUUUUUAGUGUGAUGGUUGGAAAGUUUUUCGGUGUAGGAUGAGCUCGCGGCCUAUCAGCUUGUUGGUGGGGUAAUGGCCUACCAAGGCGGCGACGGGUAGCCGGCCUGAGAGGGUGGACGGCCACAUUGGGACUGAGAUACGGCCCAG
RNAcentral lists this ribosomal RNA (241 nucleotides) under uncultured Actinomycetales bacterium. RNAcentral's name for it is "partial 16S ribosomal RNA". It matches the Rfam family "Bacterial small subunit ribosomal RNA", at positions 89 to 334 of the family's 1533-position model. The record is from RNAcentral. Lineage: Bacteria; Bacillati; Actinomycetota; Actinomycetes; Actinomycetales.